CAAACUGUUUUGUUACCUACGGAAGGCUUUCCUCCCCAUCUUUUUCUCUUUUCUCAUUUUCCCUUUCCCCUUCAGCCCUGUCACUCUCACAAAGCACAAACCCGAACCCAUAAAAAUUUCUCGUUGCAUUUUGAAGGUCAUCAAAGUCCCUGAAGGCUUUGAUUAUGAACUCUACAACCGCAACGAUAUCAACAGGAUUCUGGGUCCUAAAGCUUCUUGCAUUUCCUUCAAAGACUCAGCUUGUCGUUGCUUUGGCUACAUGGUGUCCAAGAAGAAGUAUAUCUACACAAUUGACGAUGACUGCUUUCAUCACAGUCUGUAAAGAAAAUCAUUGAAUGAUAUCCUUACAUGCUUGGCACUAUGGCUGGAGGAGCUGCUGACUAUCAAUUUUGGCACAGAAAUCUGGGCAUUAAGUGCCGAUUGCACGGAUUGGCAAACAAGCGCAGAAUUUCAGUCACAGGGGCAUCAAAGCUGUUGGCAAACAUUUUGUACUCUUACCGUGGAAUGGGUCUGUCUGUUGGGACCAUGAUUGCUGGAUGGGAUGAGAUUGUAAAGACACAUGACUGUACCAUGUCAUCUUAUUCUGUACUCUUUUAAGCAGACUCUUGUAAUUUGUAUUUUCUAUGGGUUGUAGAUAGUAUUACUUUCCUUUAAAUAUCAGAUAUAAGAGCAAGAAUUAGGGACUGAAUUGUAGGACUGAAUUGAGGACUGAAUUUGUAAUUUGUAUUCUUUACUCCUCCUCCCUGCUUUCUGCCCAGGUUUAUGGAUGUAUGGGAGGACUGAAUUGAGGGCUAAGCAUUGAAAUUUG
Molecule: long non-coding RNA, 808 nt
Organism: Quercus robur (English oak)
Lineage: Eukaryota; Viridiplantae; Streptophyta; Magnoliopsida; Fagales; Fagaceae
Exons: 3
Source: RefSeq, a predicted model, not a curated record